UACGGAGGGGGCUAGCGUUUUUCGGAAUUACUGGGCGUAAAGCGCGCGUAGGCGGGUUGUUAAGUCGAGGGUGAAAUCCCGGGGCUCAACCCCGGAACUGCCUUCGAUACUGGCAGCCUAGAGGUCAGGAGAGGUGAGCGGAAUUCCGAGUGUAGAGGUGAAAUUCGUAGAUAUUCGGAGGAACACCAGAGGCGAAGGCGGCUCACUGGACUGUUACUGACGCUGAGACCCGAAAGCGUGGGGAGCAAACAGG
This 253-nucleotide ribosomal RNA is filed under the name uncultured bacterium. Its description in RNAcentral is "partial 16S ribosomal RNA". It matches the Rfam family "Bacterial small subunit ribosomal RNA", at positions 524 to 776 of the family's 1533-position model. The record is from RNAcentral.